Molecule: ribosomal RNA, 468 nt
Filed under: uncultured bacterium
Lineage: Bacteria
Description: partial 16S ribosomal RNA
Rfam family: Bacterial small subunit ribosomal RNA
Source: RNAcentral
GACGAACGCUGGCGGCGUGCUUAACACAUGCAAGUCGAACGGAAAGGCCCUGCUUUUGUGGGGUGCUCGAGUGGCGAACGGGUGAGUAACACGUGAGUAACCUGCCCUUGACUUUGGGAUAACUUCAGGAAACUGGGGCUAAUACCGGAUAGGAGCUCCUGCUGCAUGGUGGGGGUUGGAAAGUUUCGGCGGUUGGGGAUGGACUCGCGGCUUAUCAGCUUGUUUGUGGGGUAGUGGCUUACCAAGGCUUUGACGGGUAGCCGGCCUUAGAGGGUGACCGGCCACAUUGGGACUGAGAUACGGCCCAGACUCCUACGGGAGGCAGCAGUGGGGAAUAUUGCACAAUGGGCGGACGCCUGAUGCAGAAACGCCGCGUGCGGGAUGACGGCCUUCGGGUUGUAAACCGCUUUCGCCUGUGACGAAGCGUGAGUGACGGUAAUGGGUAAAGAAGCACCGGCUAACUACGUG